RNAcentral lists this long non-coding RNA (298 nucleotides) under Carica papaya (papaya). RNAcentral describes it as "long non-coding RNA (CPAP_LNC013123)". The record is from RNAcentral. Lineage: Eukaryota; Viridiplantae; Streptophyta; Magnoliopsida; Brassicales; Caricaceae.
CAAAAAGGUCCUAUAUAAUGUGGCUCAGCUUCCCUCUUUUCUUGAACAACAUUUUUCCUUUGUAGGAGAAAAUCUUAAGGAAGACUUGGUCUCCAAUGGGGAAUUCGAAAGGUCUUUUACGAUUAUUAGUGUAACUUUUCUGGUGACUCUAGGCAGUAACCAAGUUCCUACGGAUGGUCACAGCCUUCUCAAUAGUCUCAUGGAUGAAGUCUUAUCCUAGAUGACACUAGUUUUCGACUUUGCUCUAGCAAGUGGGAGAACGACAGGGCCUACAGUACAAGGCUUCAUAUGGAGCCAU